RNAcentral lists this ribosomal RNA (814 nucleotides) under Escherichia coli. RNAcentral's name for it is "partial 23S ribosomal RNA". It matches the Rfam family "Bacterial large subunit ribosomal RNA", at positions 1085 to 1883 of the family's 2925-position model. The record is from RNAcentral. Lineage: Bacteria; Pseudomonadati; Pseudomonadota; Gammaproteobacteria; Enterobacterales; Enterobacteriaceae.
CCAGACAGCCAGGAUGUUGGCUUAGAAGCAGCCAUCAUUUAAAGAAAGCGUAAUAGCUCACUGGUCGAGUCGGCCUGCGCGGAAGAUGUAACGGGGCUAAACCAUGCACCGAAGCUGCGGCAGCGACGCUUAUGCGUUGUUGGGUAGGGGAGCGUUCUGUAAGCCUGUGAAGGUGGCCUGUGAGGGUUGCUGGAGGUAUCAGAAGUGCGAAUGCUGACAUAAGUAACGAUAAAGCGGGUGAAAAGCCCGCUCGCCGGAAGACCAAGGGUUCCUGUCCAACGUUAAUCGGGGCAGGGUGAGUCGACCCCUAAGGCGAGGCCGAAAGGCGUAGUCGAUGGGAAACAGGUUAAUAUUCCUGUACUUGGUGUUACUGCGAAGGGGGGACGGAGAAGGCUAUGUUGGCCGGGCGACGGUUGUCCCGGUUUAAGCGUGUAGGCUGGUUUUCCAGGCAAAUCCGGAAAACCAAGGCUGAGGCGUGAUGACGAGGCACUACGGUGCUGAAGCGACAAAUGCCCUGCUUCCAGGAAAAGCCUCUAAGCAUCAGGUAACAUCAAAUCGUACCCCAAACCGACACAGGUGGUCAGGUAGAGAAUACCAAGGCGCUUGAGAGAACUCGGGUGAAGGAACUAGGCAAAAUGGUGCCGUAACUUCGGGAGAAGGCACGCUGAUAUGUAGGUGAAGCGACUUGCUCGUGGAGCUGAAAUCAGUCGAAGAUACCAGCUGGCUGCAACUGUUUAUUAAAAACACAGCACUGUGCAAACACGAAAGUGGACGUAUACGGUGUGACGCCUGCCCGGUGCCGGAAGGUUAAUUG